UACAGAGGUCUCAAGCGUUGUUCGGAUUCAUUGGGCGUAAAGGGUGCGUAGGUGGCGAUGUAAGUCUGGUGUGAAAUCUCGGGGCUCAACCUCGAAAUUGCAUUGGAUACUGCGUUGCUUGAGGAUUGUAGAGGAGAGUGGAAUUCACGGUGUAGCAGUGAAAUGCGUAGAUAUCGUGAGGAAGACCAGUUGCGAAGGCGACUCUCUGGGCAAUUCCUGACACUGAGGCACGAAGGCCAGGGAGCAAACGGG
Molecule: ribosomal RNA, 252 nt
Filed under: uncultured bacterium
Lineage: Bacteria
Description: partial 16S ribosomal RNA
Rfam family: Bacterial small subunit ribosomal RNA
Source: RNAcentral